RNAcentral lists this long non-coding RNA (602 nucleotides) under Scleropages formosus (Asian bonytongue). RNAcentral's name for it is "lncRNA (ENSSFOG00015029477.1)". The record is from RNAcentral. Lineage: Eukaryota; Metazoa; Chordata; Actinopteri; Osteoglossiformes; Osteoglossidae.
CGAAAUAUGUAAAUAAUUCUAUGUAGCAUGGUGUGCAAACCUGACAGUGUAAGCUGCUUUAAACAAAAAGUGUCUGGUAAAUAAUGAAAUAAUUUAUGUGAUGUAUUGCUUGUCAUAUUGGCUACACGAGUUGCAGUUUUCUUGUCUCUUUCAUUUCACAAAAAAUAUACAGAGAAUCCCAUCUCCAAAAUGAUGGGAUCUGAAGAAAGUUCCUGAAGGCCUCAUCACAGCCACCCCUGGUUCUCUGGAGUAUUUUGCCAGGCCUUAUUAAGAUCAGAAACCCAGACUCUGUGUUAUACGAUGAGCUGCACUGUUUCCGCCGCUUUGCUCCCCACUGUUCUGGACUUGCCCCGCAGCGCCGAAGGAAGAGGAGCAGACGCCCCCCCCCCCGUUGCCUCAACACCGGCCCUCUGCCGCUCGUCUUCUUGCCCUUAAUUCUCAGUCAGAUGAAGUCACUUCCUUGGUGUUUGUUCCUCCUCAAGGCCACCAUUGUGCUCCUCCUGCUUGUUGAUGCUGCGCUCCUGGAGACACAUCGACACGUGGUCUUGUGCAGAAUACACGGGUCACACCCACACGCUGACAUAAACAGUCAGUGGAUUUAA